This 1974-nucleotide ribosomal RNA is filed under the name Triticum aestivum (bread wheat). Its description in RNAcentral is "partial small subunit ribosomal RNA". The record is from RNAcentral. Lineage: Eukaryota; Viridiplantae; Streptophyta; Magnoliopsida; Poales; Poaceae.
AUGGGUGUAUGUCAAUGGGGGGAAAAGGCACAGUUGAUCCAACCACAAGAGAAAACAAGGCGACAGCGAAAAACCACUUUCAGAAUCAUAUCGCUGAAACUAGGGUCUCACAUUAUGUGUCUGAAUUAUAUUAGACAGAUCUAUCAUACUCAUUGGAAAGUAAUGAAGUACUGGCAUAUUUUGAAACCUAGAAUAUCUUUGGUCCUGUUUUUACCAAUAAUCAUAUCCUAUCAACUGUACAUCUGUUGCAAGUCAUUGACAUUCUCUCUGUUUUUCUUCUUCAUAUAUUCGAUGAAUUGGAUAUCCUUGGAAAUCUACAACAACAAAAAAGAUCCAUGUGGACCAAUGUACUACAAUGGCAUCUACCAUGAAUUCUACCAAUAUAACCCCGAUGGCUCCUUCAAUCCCAAUACCUCCUACAACAUAGUUUGGGGCCAUUCGGUUUCAACGGACCUCGUCAACUGGAUUACUCUUGAACCCGCAAUAGAACCGGAUACCCCAAAUGACAUAAAAGGUUGCUGGUCCGGCUCAGCCACAAUUGUAUCUGGUGAUCAACCGGUCAUCAUAUACACCGGUGUCAUCGACAUUGAGAAGCAUCAGGUCCAAAACAUUGCGCUUCCCAAAAACCGGUCUGAUCCCUACCUCAGGGAAUGGACCAAAGCAGGCAAUAACCCAGUGAUCCAAUCGGGUGUACCGGGCUUGAACUCGGGGCAGUUCAGGGAUCCGACAACCGGUUGGAUCGGACCGGACGGACUAUGGAGAAUAGCAGUCGGUGCUCAGCUGAACGGCUACGGUGCUGCACUUUUGUACAAGAGCGAAGACUUCUUGAACUGGACUAGAGUUGACCAUCCGCUGUAUUCAUCCAAUGCCUCCAUUAUGUUAGAGUGCCUGGAUUUCUUCGCAGUAUUGCCGGGAAGUAACAAUGGACUGGACAUGUCUUCAGCAAUCCCAAAUGGCGCCAAGCAUGUCCUCAAAAUGGGCCUGAAUUUCGGUGAAGACGUGUACGUGAUAGGGGUUUAUGAUCUCAAACGUGAUGUCUUUGUGCCAGAUACUGAUGACAGUCGGCUAUGGCCGAGGAUCGAUUAUGGCAAUUUCUAUGCUUCAAAAACGUUCUUUGACUCUAAACAUGGAAGGAGGAUCAUAUGGGCUUGGACUACUGAGACUGACAGUUCUUCAGAUGAUGUUGCAAAAGGCUGGGCAGGAAUCCAUUCAUUCCCCAGGACAAUUUGGUUAGACAGCGAUAGCAAACGGCUGCUGCAAUGGCCAGUUGAAGAGAUUGAGUCCCUUCGAGGAAAUGAAAUCAACCAUCAAGGACUAGACUUGAAGAUGGGAGAUCUAUUUGAGAUUGAGGGAGCUGACACUUUGCAGGCUGACAUCGAGAUAGAUUUUGAGCUGACGUCAAUCGAUGAUGCUGAUCCUUUCGAUCCUUCCUGGCUUUUUGAUGCCGAGAAGCAUUGCCGGGAAGCGGAUGCAUCGGUUCAUGGUAGCAUAGGGCCAUUUGGACUUGUUAUUCUGGCCUCCGACGACACGGAGGAGCACACUGUUGUGCACUUCAGAGUUUACAAAUCACAGAAAAAUUACAUGAUCCUCAUGUGCUCUGAUCUAAGAAGGUCUUCCCUGACACCAGGACUGGACACACCAACCUAUGGAGGCUUCUUUGAAUUUGACCUUGAAAAGGAAAGGAAGAUCUCCCUCAGAACUCUGGUGAGUUGGGUGGCUUUCGUGUCAUUUCUCCAGUUACAUGUUCACUCCCUAACAGAACUGAAAAUGUACACCACCAUUCAGAUUGAUCGGUCUGCGGUGGAGAGCUUCGGUGGUGGUGGCAGGGUCUGCAUCAUGGCUAGAGUUUACCCAGUGUCGCUUGUCGACGACAACCGCCAACCCCACAUGUAUGCCUUUAACAAUGGCAGUGCCACAGUCAGAGUGCCUCAGCUCAGGGCUUGGAGCAUGAGGAGAGCACAAGUGAGCGUUUAA